AAAAAAAAAUACUCUUGGCCUUCAAUUUGUUUCUUUUCUUAUUGAUGCUCUUCUAGUCUUUCGUAAUUUAUUUUAGUUUUUUGAGUUACAACACGUUUGCGAACUUAAAAACUCAAUCGACAUCAUUAAUACAAAAGUAAGUUUAUGUCAUUCUCCCCUUACUAUGUGCUCCCUAUUCUUUUAGUUUUAAAGAACAAGUAAAAAAUAAGAACUUUUCUCUUAUAUUCAACAAAAUAUCUCAAAAAGCUCAUGAAAAUCACUCACUACCACUUUCCUUAUUUAACCAAGGAUAUGAGAAUAGUUUUUCUAAUAAAAGGGAAUAAGAUCCAUUCACUUUUUGUUACAAAGGUUUUUCUCUUCUAAGGAGUCAUUGCUACUAUGGAUUGAUUCCCCCCUUUUUCUUCCCUUUAAUAAAAAAAGUAUAUUAGAUUAAAAAG
This 437-nucleotide long non-coding RNA is filed under the name Carica papaya (papaya). RNAcentral describes it as "long non-coding RNA (CPAP_LNC002802)". Lineage: Eukaryota; Viridiplantae; Streptophyta; Magnoliopsida; Brassicales; Caricaceae. The record is from RNAcentral.